CCUGGCUCCGGAUGAACGCUAGCUACAGCGCUUAACACAUGCAAGUCGAGGGGCAGCAUGGUCUUAGCUUGCUAAGGCCGAUGGCGACCGGCGCACGGGUGAGUAACACGUAUCCAACCUGCCGUCUACUCUUGGACAGCCUUCUGAAAGGAAGAUUAAUACAAGAUGGCAUCAUGAGUCCGCAUGUUCACAUGAUUAAAGGUAUUCCGGUAGACGAUGGGGAUGCGUUCCAUUAGAUAGUAGGCGGGGUAACGGCCCACCUAGUCUUCGAUGGAUAGGGGUUCUGAGAGGAAGGUCCCCCACAUUGGAACUGAGACACGGUCCAAACUCCUACGGGAGGCAGCAGUGAGGAAUAUUGGUCAAUGGGCGAGAGCCUGAACCAGCCAAGUAGCGUGAAGGAUGACUGCCCUAUGGGUUGUAAACUUCUUUUAUAAAGGAAUAAAGUCGGGUAUGGAUACCCGUUUGCAUGUACUUUAUGAAUAAGGAUCGGCUAACUCCGUGCCAACAGCCGCGGUAAUACGGAGGAUCCGAGCGUUAUCCGGAUUUAUUGGGUUUAAAGGGAGCGUAGAUGGAUGUUUAAGUCAGUUGUGAAAGUUUGCGGCUCAACCGUAAAAUUGCAGUUGAUACUGGAUAUCUUGAGUGCAGUUGAGGCAGGCGGAAUUCGUGGUGUAGCGGUGAAAUGCUUAGAUAUCACGAAGAACUCCGAUUGCGAAGGCAGCCUGCUAAGCUGCAACUGACAUUGAGGCUCGAAAGUGUGGGUAUCGAACAGGAUUAGAUACCCUGGUAGUCCACACGGUAAACGAUGAAUACUCGCUGUUUGCGAUAUACAGCAAGCGGCCAAGCGAAAGCGUUAAGUAUUCCACCUGGGGAGUACGCCGGCAACGGUGAAACUCAAAGGAAUUGACGGGGGCCCGCACAAGCGGAGGAACAUGUGGUUUAAUUCGAUGAUACGCGAGGAACCUUACCCGGGCUUAAAUUGCAGAUGAAUUACGGUGAAAGCCGUAAGCCGCAAGGCAUCUGUGAAGGUGCUGCAUGGUUGUCGUCAGCUCGUGCCGUGAGGUGUCGGCUUAAGUGCCAUAACGAGCGCAACCCUUGUUGUCAGUUACUAACAGGUUCCGCUGAGGACUCUGACAAGACUGCCAUCGUAAGAUGUGAGGAAGGUGGGGAUGACGUCAAAUCAGCACGGCCCUUACGUCCGGGGCUACACACGUGUUACAAUGGGGGGUACAGAGGGCCGCUACCACGCGAGUGGAUGCCAAUCCCCAAAACCUCUCUCAGUUCGGACUGGAGUCUGCAACCCGACUCCACGAAGCUGGAUUCGCUAGUAAUCGCGCAUCAGCCACGGCGCGGUGAAUACGUUCCCGGGCCUUGUACACACCGCCC
Molecule: ribosomal RNA, 1383 nt
Filed under: uncultured bacterium
Lineage: Bacteria
Description: bacterial SSU rRNA
Rfam family: Bacterial small subunit ribosomal RNA
Source: RNAcentral